Crotalus tigris (Tiger rattlesnake) is the source of this 326-nucleotide long non-coding RNA. RefSeq lists it as uncharacterized. The record is from RefSeq and is a predicted model, not a curated record. The transcript has 2 exons. Lineage: Eukaryota; Metazoa; Chordata; Lepidosauria; Squamata; Viperidae.
GCCGAUCAGCCGGAUGUCGGGCCGGUCGGAUGCCGUUCCAUGCGGUAGAGGCUUCGCUGGGGAGUCAAGUAUUUCCUGUACCUCAUAAUCACCAUUACCAACAGGGCCUGGUUCAGUUUCUUUUUGAUACAUAUAAACUGGCUUUAUCAAGCUGCAAUGAAACACCGGAUGUACUUUCCCCAACAUCCGGGGUAGCUGUAACCGUACAGUGACUGGAUUAACGAUCUUAACAAUCUUAAAUGGGCCAAUGUAUUUAGGUCCUAAUUUUCUGCAUGGAACUUUCAGCUUCAGAUAUUUGGUGGACAAAUAAACGAAUUGACCCACAA